RNAcentral lists this ribosomal RNA (414 nucleotides) under uncultured eukaryote. Its description in RNAcentral is "bacterial SSU rRNA". It matches the Rfam family "Eukaryotic small subunit ribosomal RNA", at positions 592 to 1013 of the family's 1831-position model. The record is from RNAcentral.
CAAUAGCGUAUAUUAAAGUUGUUGCGGUUAAAAGCUCGUAGUUGGAUUUCUGUCGAAGGCGGCCGGUCCGCACUAUGUGCGUGUAUCUGGUUCGGUUUGGCAUCCUCUUGGGGAACGUUUCUGUGCUUGAUUGCAUGGGGCGGGAUUCAAGACUUUACUUUGAGGAAAUUAGAGUGUUCACGGCAAGCUAUCGCUUUGAAUACAUUAGCAUGGAAUAAUAAUAUAGGCAUGAGCGUCUAUUUUGUUGGUUUCUAGAUGCUCAUGAAUGAUAAAUAGGGACACUUGGGGCGAUUCGUAUUACGACGUCAGAGGUGGAAUUCUUAGAUUGUCGUACGACGAACUACUGCGAAAGCAUUUGCCAAGGAUGUUUUCAUUGAUCAAGAACGAAAGUCGAGGGAUCGAAGAUGAUUAGAU